CAACAUCCAACGAUAUUACAAAUUUGUUAAUGUUGGACCAUACCAGUACACCAUCACGAAUACUAUGGUUUUUUUUUUUUUUUUUGUAAACCCACGUAUACUAUGGUUUAUAUUUCAAAGUUUAGUUGUGAUAAUUGGAUAAGUAUGAAAAAGAAACCUUCUAAUUAAGCAGGAGUAUUUGACACGAUGGAUUUUUAUACAGUAUGUACGCGUAUAUAAUCAUGUCGCCAAAUCCAAAGUAAUAACACAACAGAGAACCCAAUGAUUUUUUUUAACUAAUAGACAGAACUGAGAUAUGUCCUAAAGGAUAAAUACGACAAUGUUCACCUACAUCAUAAGAAGAAGCUUAUAUACACCUUUAGAGCACCUCUUUCAAUCCCAACAUUGCUCAAGAACCACGGAUUGUUAACAUAUACCCUUCUGUUGUGGCUUUCAAUGAAAGAGAAACUUCUGUUGUGAGUUUGCUUUCAUGGCUGCAGUAUUCCAACAGUUGACGUGCUUAAAUAAUAUGGACUGGACUUACUUGAU
Molecule: long non-coding RNA, 528 nt
Filed under: Capsella rubella
Lineage: Eukaryota; Viridiplantae; Streptophyta; Magnoliopsida; Brassicales; Brassicaceae
Description: long non-coding RNA (CRUB_LNC004630)
Source: RNAcentral